AUUGCGGGACGUUGAACCCACA
Molecule: small nuclear RNA, 22 nt
Filed under: Arabidopsis thaliana (thale cress)
Lineage: Eukaryota; Viridiplantae; Streptophyta; Magnoliopsida; Brassicales; Brassicaceae
Description: snRNA_11129
Source: RNAcentral